GACGAACGCUGGCGGCGUGCUUAACACAUGCAAGUCGAACGGAAAGGCCCUGCUUGCAGGGUAUUCGAGUGGCGAACGGGUGAGUAACACGUGGGUGAUCCGCCCUGCACUUCGGGAUAUGCCUGGGAAACUGGGUCUAAUAUCGGGUAGGAGCCAUCCUGAGGGUGAUGGGUGGAAAGUUUUUUCGGUGUGGGAUGAGCUCGCGGCCUAUCAGCUUGUUGGUGGGGUAAUGGCCUACCAAGGCGGCGACGGGUAGCCGGCCUGAGAGGGUGGACGGCCACAUUGGGACUGAGAUACGGCCCAGACUCCUACGGGAGGCAGCAGUGGGGAAUAUUGCACAAUGGGCGCAAGCCUGAUGCAGCGACGCCGCGUGGGGGAUGACGGCCUUCGGGUUGUAAACUCCUUUCGCUAGGGACGAAGCUUUUGUGACGGUACCUAGAAAAGAAGCACCGGCUAACUACGUG
This 464-nucleotide ribosomal RNA is filed under the name uncultured bacterium. Its description in RNAcentral is "partial 16S ribosomal RNA". It matches the Rfam family "Bacterial small subunit ribosomal RNA", at positions 28 to 507 of the family's 1533-position model. The record is from RNAcentral.